AGGGAUACUGGGACUUGCUGGCGG
RNAcentral lists this non-coding RNA (24 nucleotides) under Arabidopsis thaliana (thale cress). The record is from RNAcentral. Lineage: Eukaryota; Viridiplantae; Streptophyta; Magnoliopsida; Brassicales; Brassicaceae.